CCAGGAUGGGGGCCAAUUGUCUUUAGAUAUUACUGACACAUCAGCUCCCAUAUCCAUAAGCCCAUAAAAUUCCUUUCCUUUAAUUUGUACUACACAGGUGGGUCUAUUAGAGGCUAUGGGAUGGGAUAGAUAAAUUUUUCAUGUAGCUGUGCUCCCAAACCAUUUAUUUUCUCAUUUCUUCUUUUGCAGAGAAGGGUGUAAUUUGCAGGGAAUAAGCAAUAAUUGAGCAAUAUACUCUCCUGGUUCAAAACCCCAAAGAUCUUGUGACAUUAAAACUACUUGAAUUUCUCCUUCAUAAUCAGAGUAAACAACUCCUGGGACUACAAUAAUGCCCUGUCUGCUGGAGUUUGCUGAAGGUCCACUGCCGACCCUACUUUCCUGGGUAUCACCAGCAGAGGCUGCAGAAUAGCAAAGAUUGCUGCCUGUUCUUUCUUCUUGAAGCUUCAUCCCAGAGGGUCACCUGCCAGAUGCCAGCCAGAUCUCUUCUGUAAGAGAUUAUAUCCCAUGUGCAAAUAAGAAUGUAUAUUCUGGGAGGUGGUUCCAAGAUGGCCAAAUAGGAACAGCUCCAGUCUACAGCCAGCAUGAGCAACACAGAGAUGAGUGAUUUCUGCAUUUCCAACUGAGGAUGUACUUACAGAAGCUCUGGUACAAGUACACAGAGACAUUCAUUGCAGCACUGUUUGUGAAAAUGAAAUAUUGUAAUAAACCAAAAUAGUAAUCAACAACAAAAUGGAUGUUUAAAUAUAUUGUUCCAUGGAUGCCAAAAAUGUCACAUGUGUACUCUGAAAUAGACUAUUUUUGGCAACAGAUUUAAAAGGUGACAAUGAGUGUUGGAGAUAAAAUAGAAAGAAAAUUUUAAAAACAAAACCUUGAAUAAAAAAGGCAAGCUGCAGAAAAUUAAAAUGUAAUAAAAUUUAUGUUGAAAAUAAAGUUCAGGCAAGUAAGAUUAUGACAAAUCUAGAGUUCUAUUUCAGGCUU
This is a long non-coding RNA of Symphalangus syndactylus (siamang), 978 nucleotides long. RefSeq lists it as uncharacterized. The record is from RefSeq and is a predicted model, not a curated record. Lineage: Eukaryota; Metazoa; Chordata; Mammalia; Primates; Hylobatidae.